UACGGAGGGUGCAAGCGUUAUCCGGAUUCACUGGGUUUAAAGGGUGCGUAGGUGGGCAGGUAAGUCAGUGGUGAAAUCUCCGGGCUUAACCCGGAACUGCCGUUGAUACUAUCUGUCUUGAAUAUAGUGGAGGUGAGCGGAAUAUGUCAUGUAGCGGUGAAAUGCUUAGAUAUGACAUGGAACACCAAUUGCGAAGGCAGCUCGCUACACUAUCAUUGACACUGAGGCACGAAAGCGUGGGGAUCAAACAGG
RNAcentral lists this ribosomal RNA (252 nucleotides) under uncultured bacterium. RNAcentral's name for it is "partial 16S ribosomal RNA". It matches the Rfam family "Bacterial small subunit ribosomal RNA", at positions 524 to 776 of the family's 1533-position model. The record is from RNAcentral.